GACGAACGCUGGCGGCGUGCCUAAUACAUGCCAGUUGAGCGCUGAAGGUUGGUACUUGUACCGACUGGAUGAGCAGCGAACGGGUGAGUAACGCGUGGGGAAUCUGCCUUUGAGCGGGGGAUAACAUUUGGAAACGAAUGCUAAUACCGCAUAAAAACUUUAAACACAAGUUUUAAGUUUGAAAGAUGCAAUUGCAUCACUCAAAGAUGAUCCCGCGUUGUAUUAGCUAGUUGGUGAGGUAAAGGCUCACCAAGGCGAUGAUACAUAGCCGACCUGAGAGGGUGAUCGGCCACAUUGGGACUGAGACACGGCCCAAACUCCUACGGGAGGCAGCAGUAGGGAAUCUUCGGCAAUGGACGAAAGUCUGACCGAGCAACGCCGCGUGAGUGAAGAAGGUUUUCGGAUCGUAAAACUCUGUUGGUAGAGAAGAACGUUGGUGAGAGUGGAAAGCUCAUCAAGUGACGGUAACUACCCAGAAAGGGACGGCUAACUACGUG
This 497-nucleotide ribosomal RNA is filed under the name uncultured bacterium. RNAcentral's name for it is "partial 16S ribosomal RNA". It matches the Rfam family "Bacterial small subunit ribosomal RNA", at positions 28 to 507 of the family's 1533-position model. The record is from RNAcentral.